This 419-nucleotide long non-coding RNA is filed under the name Setaria viridis. RNAcentral describes it as "long non-coding RNA (SVIR_LNC000431)". Lineage: Eukaryota; Viridiplantae; Streptophyta; Magnoliopsida; Poales; Poaceae. The record is from RNAcentral.
GAAGGAAGAGGAAGGGAGAGGAGGAAGAAAGAGAAGGAAAAAGGAGAAGGAAAAGAAAGAGGAAGAAAAAGAAAGAAGGAAGAGAAAGAGAGGGAAGGGAGGGGAAAAAGAUGGCGGAAAUUGCGGGAUUCGCCUGCGCGCGGUGAUGGACUUGACGGGCACGCGGCGAAAAUUACGGGGAGCGUAAAAAUGGAGAAUUGACGGGCCGGGGCCAGGACGGCGGGUCCGACGGAAGGGAAAGGAUUUGAUGGAGCUCGGCGGUCGGAAAAUUUUUGGAAAGUGUUUUUAACGGGUGAUUUAACUGGGUGUAUUUUACGGGCGUUACAAACCUACCCCACUUAAAUUGAAUCUCGUCCUCGAGAUUCGGCUGAGUCCUGAACAGAUGGGGAAAUUCCUUCUUUAACGCAUCCUCGCGUUCC